UACGGAGGGUGCAAGCGUUAAUCGGAAUUACUGGGCGUAAAGCGUGCGCAGGCGGUUGUGCAAGACAGAUGUGAAAUCCCCGGGCUUAACCUGGGAAUGGCAUUUGUGACUGCACGGCUAGAGUGUGUCAGAGGGGGGUAGAAUUCCACGUGUAGCAGUGAAAUGCGUAGAUAUGUGGAGGAACACCGAUGGCGAAGGCAAUCCCCUGGGCCUGCACUGACGCUCAUGCACGAAAGCGUGGGGAGCAAACAGG
RNAcentral lists this ribosomal RNA (253 nucleotides) under uncultured bacterium. Its description in RNAcentral is "partial 16S ribosomal RNA". It matches the Rfam family "Bacterial small subunit ribosomal RNA", at positions 524 to 776 of the family's 1533-position model. The record is from RNAcentral.